Molecule: ribosomal RNA, 253 nt
Filed under: uncultured prokaryote
Description: partial 16S ribosomal RNA
Rfam family: Bacterial small subunit ribosomal RNA
Source: RNAcentral
ACGAAGGGGGCUAGCGUUGCUCGGAAUCACUGGGCGUAAAGCGCACGUAGGCGGUCUUUUAAGUCAGGGGUGAAAUCCUGGAGCUCAACUCCAGAACUGCCUUUGAUACUGAGAGACUUGAGUCCGGGAGAGGUAAGUGGAAUUCCGAGUGUAGAGGUGAAAUUCGUAGAUAUUCGGAAGAACACCAGUGGCGAAGGCGACUUACUGGACACAUAUUGACGCUGAGGUGCGAAAGCGUGGGGAGCAAACAGGA